UCCCUAGUCCUAGCCUUUCAUCCCUCUAACUCUAUAUAUUUUCUCGGUUUCUCCAUAACUGAAGCUUUUCAAGAUUUUUUUGCAUGGUCCUAGUUUGAGAAAAGUUAUGAAAAAGUGGUCUUUUGAAACGAAAAAUACAAAAAUAUAUAAAGAAUAAGAAAAAGUAAAAACAUAAACACACAAGAAAAGAAAUACACAAGAAAAAUAAAGAAGGACCUUCCCCUCUUAUACUCAAUAAUUU
This 241-nucleotide long non-coding RNA is filed under the name Lathyrus oleraceus (garden pea). Its description in RNAcentral is "Pisum sativum (pea) long non-coding RNA (PSAT_LNC014586)". The record is from RNAcentral. Lineage: Eukaryota; Viridiplantae; Streptophyta; Magnoliopsida; Fabales; Fabaceae.